This 395-nucleotide ribosomal RNA is filed under the name uncultured bacterium. RNAcentral's name for it is "bacterial SSU rRNA". It matches the Rfam family "Bacterial small subunit ribosomal RNA", at positions 28 to 419 of the family's 1533-position model. The record is from RNAcentral.
GACGAACGCUGGCGGCGUGCUUAACACAUGCAAGUCGAGCGGUAAGGCCCUUUCGGGGGUACACGAGCGGCGAACGGGUGAGUAACACGUGGGUGACCUGCCCUCAGCUCUGGGAUAAGCCUGGGAAACUGGGUCUAAUACUGGAUAUGACUCCACGGUGCAUGUCGUGGGGGUGGAAAGCCUUGUGCGGCUGAGGAUGGGCCCGCGGCCUAUCAGCUUGUUGGUGGGGGUGAUGGCCUACCAAGGCGACGACGGGUAGCCGGCCUGAGAGGGCGACCGGCCACACUGGGACUGAGACACGGCCCAGACUCCUACGGGAGGGCAGCAGUGGGGAAUCUUGCGCAAUGGGGCGAAAAGCCUGACGCAGCGACGCCGCGUGAGGGAUGACGGCCUCG